UUUAUGACUCUCGACAACGGAUAUCUUGGCUCUUGCAUCGAUGAAGAACGCAGCGAAAUGCGAUAAGUGGUGUGAAUUGCAGAAUCCCGUGAACCAUCGAGUCUUUGAACGCAAGUUGCGCCCGAUGCCAUCAGGCUAAGGGCACGCCUGCCUGGGCGUCGUGU
RNAcentral lists this ribosomal RNA (164 nucleotides) under Cypripedium macranthos. Its description in RNAcentral is "5.8S rRNA". It matches the Rfam family "5.8S ribosomal RNA". From Rfam's summary of the family: 5.8S ribosomal RNA (5.8S rRNA) is a component of the large subunit of the eukaryotic ribosome. It is transcribed by RNA polymerase I as part of the 45S precursor that also contains 18S and 28S rRNA. The record is from RNAcentral. RNAcentral also lists the same sequence under 6 other names. Lineage: Eukaryota; Viridiplantae; Streptophyta; Magnoliopsida; Asparagales; Orchidaceae.